AAGCAGGGGAUCGUAAGACCUUGCGCUUUUGGAGCGGCCGAUGCCUGAUUAGCUAGUUGGUGGGGUAAGGGCCUACCAAGGCAACGAUCAGUAGUUGGUCUGAGAGGACGACCAGCCACACUGGGACUGAGACACGGCCCAGACUCCUACGGGAGGCAGCAGUGGGGAAUUUUGGACAAUGGGCGAAAGCCUGAUCCAGCAAUGCCGCGUGAGUGAAGAAGGCCUUCGGGUUGUAAAGCUCUUUCAGUCGAGAAGAAAAGGUUGUGACUAAUAAUCACAACUCAUGACGGUACCGACAGAAGAAGCACCGGCUAACUACGUGCCAGCAGCCGCGGUAAUACGUAGGGUGCGAGCGUUAAUCGGAAUUACUGGGCGUAAAGGGUGCGCAGGCGGCUUUGUAAGUCAGAUGUGAAAUCCCCGGGCUUAACCUGGGAAUUGCGUUUGAAACUACAAAGCUAGAGU
Molecule: ribosomal RNA, 462 nt
Filed under: uncultured ammonia-oxidizing beta proteobacterium
Lineage: Bacteria; Pseudomonadati; Pseudomonadota; Betaproteobacteria
Description: bacterial SSU rRNA
Rfam family: Bacterial small subunit ribosomal RNA
Source: RNAcentral